This 200-nucleotide ribosomal RNA is filed under the name uncultured bacterium. Its description in RNAcentral is "partial 16S ribosomal RNA". It matches the Rfam family "Bacterial small subunit ribosomal RNA", at positions 30 to 232 of the family's 1533-position model. The record is from RNAcentral.
AUUGAACGCUGGCGGCAUGCCUUACACAUGCAAGUCGAACGGUAACAGGCCGCAAGGUGCUGACGAGUGGCGAACGGGUGAGUAAUGCAUCGGAACGUGCCCAGUCGUGGGGGAUAACGCAGCGAAAGCUGCGCUAAUACCGCAUACGAUCAAUGGAUGAAAGCGGGGGACCGUAAGGCCUCGCGCGAUUGGAGCGGCCG